RNAcentral lists this ribosomal RNA (982 nucleotides) under Capsicum annuum. RNAcentral describes it as "SSU rRNA". It matches the Rfam family "Eukaryotic small subunit ribosomal RNA", at positions 820 to 1823 of the family's 1831-position model. The record is from RNAcentral. Lineage: Eukaryota; Viridiplantae; Streptophyta; Magnoliopsida; Solanales; Solanaceae.
UAAAACUACGUUCGAUCAUCCUAAUAAUUUCCUGACGUUCAUCCAUCUUCCCCACCGUCGGGGGCAUUCGUAUUUCAUAGUCAGAGGUGUAAUUAUUGGAUUUAUGAAAUACGAACAACUGAAAAAGCAUUUUCCAAGGAUGUUUUCAUUAAUCAAGAAUGACAGUUGGGGGCUCGAAGGUGAUCAGAUACCGUCCUAGUCUCAAUCAUAAAUUAUGCCGAUCAGGGAUCGUCGUAUGUUUCUUUUAGGACUCCGCCAGCACCUUAUGAGAAAUCAAAGUUUUUGAGUUCUGGGGGGAGUAUGGUCGCAAGGCUAAAACUUAAAGAAAUUGACGGAAGGGCACCACCAGGAGUGGAGCCUGCGGCUUAAUUUGGCUCCACACGGGGAAACUUAAGAAGUCCAAACGUAGUAAGGAUUGACACACUGAGAGCUCUUUCUUGAUUCUAUGGGUGGUGGUUCAUGGCUGUUCUUAGUCGGUGGAGCUAUUUUUCUGGUUAAUAUCGUUAACGGACAUGACCUCAGCCUGCUAACUAGCUAUGUGGAGGUAUCCCUUCGCGGACAGAUUCUUAAAAGGAUUACGACCUUUUAUACCACAGAAGUUUGAGGCAAUAAUAGGUUUGUGAUGCCCUUAGAUGUUCUGGGCCGCAUGCGCGCUACACUGAUGUAUUCAAUGAGUUUAUAGCGUUGGCCGACAGGCCCGAGUAAUCUUUGAAAGUUCAUCGUGAUGAGGAUAGAUCAUUGCAAUUGUUGGUCUUCAACGAGGAAUUCCUAGUAAGAGCAAGUCAUCAGCUCGCGUUAACUACAUCCCUGCCCUUUGUACACACCGCCCGUCGCUCCUAAUGAUUGAAUGAUCUGGUGAAAUGUUCGGAUCGCGUUGAUGUGGGUGGUUCGCUGCCCACAACGUCGUGAGAAGUCCAUUGAAUCUUAUCAGUUAGAUGAAGGAGAAUUCGUAACAAGAUUUCCGUAGGUAAACCUGCGGAAG